This 495-nucleotide ribosomal RNA is filed under the name uncultured bacterium. RNAcentral describes it as "partial 16S ribosomal RNA". It matches the Rfam family "Bacterial small subunit ribosomal RNA", at positions 28 to 507 of the family's 1533-position model. The record is from RNAcentral.
GACGAACGCUGGCGGCGUGCCUAAUACAUGCAAGUAGAACGCUGAAGGAGGAGCUUGCUUCUCCGGAUGAGUUGCGAACGGGUGAGUAACGCGUAGGUAACCUGCCUGGUAGCGGGGGAUAACUAUUGGAAACGAUAGCUAAUACCGCAUAAGAGUAGAUGUCGCAUGACAUUUGCUUAAAAGGUGCAACUGCACCACUACCAGAUGGACCUGCGUUGUAUUAGCGAGGUGGGGAGGUAACGGCUCACCAAGGAAACGAUCCAUAGACGGCCUGAGAGGGGGAACCGCCACCCUGGGACUGGGGCACGGCCCAGGCUCCCACGGGGGGCCGCAGUAGGGAAUCUUCGGCCAUGGGCGGAAGUCUUACCGAGCAACGGCGCGUGGGUGGAGAAGGUUUUCGGAUCGUAAAGCUCUGUUUUAAGGGAAGAACGAGUGUGGGAGUGGAAAGUUCACGCUGUGACGGUAUCUUACCAGAAAGCGCCGGCUAACUACGUG